UGCCAGGGCCCAUGGAAUGUGGACUUACAAAUCCCGCCAGGGCAGGAAUGCAGCAACGGUAGUUUGCUCUGCAUCCGCCGUGGUCACCCUGGCAUUU
Molecule: signal recognition particle RNA, 97 nt
Filed under: Pedosphaera parvula Ellin514
Lineage: Bacteria; Pseudomonadati; Verrucomicrobiota; Pedosphaerae; Pedosphaerales; Pedosphaeraceae
Description: Bacterial small signal recognition particle RNA
Rfam family: Bacterial small signal recognition particle RNA
About the family: The signal recognition particle (SRP) is a universally conserved ribonucleoprotein involved in the co-translational targeting of proteins to membranes.
Source: Rfam by way of RNAcentral